This 449-nucleotide ribosomal RNA is filed under the name uncultured bacterium. RNAcentral describes it as "partial 16S ribosomal RNA". It matches the Rfam family "Bacterial small subunit ribosomal RNA", at positions 29 to 523 of the family's 1533-position model. The record is from RNAcentral.
AACGAACGCUGGCGGCAUGCCUAACACAUGCAAGUCGAACGAAGCCUUCGGGCUUAGUGGCGCACGGGUGCGUAACGCGUGGGAAUCUGCCCUUUGGUUCGGAAUAACAGUUGGAAACGACUGCUAAUACCGGAUGAUGACGAAAGUCCAAAGAUUUAUCGCCAGAGGAUGAGCCCGCGUAGGAUUAGCUAGUUGGUGUGGUAAAGGCGCACCAAGGCGACGAUCCUUAGCUGGUCUGAGAGGAUGAUCAGCCACACUGGGGCUGAGACACGGCCCAGACUGCUACGGGAGGCAGCAGUGGGGAAUAUUGGACAAUGGGCGAAAGCCUGAUCCAGAAAUGCCGCGUGAGUGAUGAAGGCCCUAGGGUUGUAAAGCUCUUUUACCCGGGAUGAUAAUGACAGGACCGGGAGAAUAAGCCCCGGCUAACUCCGUGCCAGCCGCCGCGGUAA